RNAcentral lists this ribosomal RNA (504 nucleotides) under Fusarium solani. Its description in RNAcentral is "eukaryotic LSU rRNA". The stretch from base 128 to 281 matches the Rfam family "5.8S ribosomal RNA". Lineage: Eukaryota; Fungi; Ascomycota; Sordariomycetes; Hypocreales; Nectriaceae. The record is from RNAcentral.
CCUGUGACAUACCUAAAACGUUGCUUCGGCGGGAACAGACGGCCCCGUGAAACGGGCCGCCCCCGCCAGAGGACCCCCUAACUCUGUUGCUAUAUGUAUCUUCUGAGUAAACAAGCAAAUAAAUUAAAACUUUCAACAACGGAUCUCUUGGCUCUGGCAUCGAUGAAGAACGCAGCGAAAUGCGAUAAGUAAUGUGAAUUGCAGAAUUCAGUGAAUCAUCGAAUCUUUGAACGCACAUUGCGCCCGCCAGUAUUCUGGCGGGCAUGCCUGUUCGAGCGUCAUUACAACCCUCAGGCCCCCGGGCCUGGCGUUGGGGAUCGGCGAGGCGCCCCCCUGCGGGCACGCGCCGUCCCCCAAAUACAGUGGCGGUCCCGCCGCAGCUUCCAUUGCGUAGUAGCUAACACCUCGCAACUGGAGAGCGGCGCGGCCAUGCCGUAAAACACCCAACUUCUGAAUGUUGACCUCGAAUCAGGUAGGAAUACCCGCUGAACUUAAGCAUAUCAA